This 490-nucleotide ribosomal RNA is filed under the name uncultured bacterium. Its description in RNAcentral is "partial 16S ribosomal RNA". It matches the Rfam family "Bacterial small subunit ribosomal RNA", at positions 28 to 507 of the family's 1533-position model. The record is from RNAcentral.
GAUGAACGCUAGCUACAGGCUUAACACAUGCAAGUCGCGGGGCAGCAUGGGGGUUGCUUGCACUCCCCGAUGGCGACCGGCGCACGGGUGAGUAACGCGUAUUCAACCUGCCCUUCACCACGGGAUAACCCGGCGAAAGUCGGACUAAUACCGUAUGUUGUCCAUUGACGGCCUCCGAUUUGGACGAAAGGCUUGGCGGUGAGGGAUGGGGAUGCGUCCGAUUAGCCAGACGGCGGGGUAACGGCCCACCGUGGCUACGAUCGGUAGGGGUUCUGAGAGGAAGGUCCCCCACACUGGAACUGAGACACGGUCCAGACUCCUACGGGAGGCAGCAGUGAGGAAUAUUGGUCAAUGGGCGUAAGCCUGAACCAGCCAAGUAGCGUGCAGGAUGACGGCCCUAUGGGUUGUAAACUGCUUUUAUGCGGGGAUAAAGUGGCCCACGUGUGGGCUUUUGCAGGUACCGCAUGAAUAAGGACCGGCUAAUUCCGUG